This 645-nucleotide small RNA is filed under the name Pongo abelii (Sumatran orangutan). Its description in RNAcentral is "retained intron". Lineage: Eukaryota; Metazoa; Chordata; Mammalia; Primates; Hominidae. The record is from RNAcentral.
AGGGGAGAAGUGGUUGGGUUCUGGGCCUGCUGGGCAGUGGAGCCAGCUGGGUUGGCCAUCAGGGUUCUGUCGUGAACAGAGGAGGACAGGCUGGACACCUGGAAAAGAUGGCGCGAGGCCCAGCGGAGGCCCCUCCCACUGGAGAGCUUUGGUAGUCCAGUGAGGUUGGGCCACUCUCAAUUUCCUUCCCUGCUGGCCAGGACUUUCGUGGGGAUCCAGGCCUCUGAGGCCUCCUGGAUGGAGGACGCCACCAACGUCGUGCGUGGCCUCAUCGUUGAGCUCUCCAACCUGAACCGACUGAUCAUGGGCACCCACCGGGACCUGGAAACUUUCAAGCGCCUCAACUACCGGAAGACAAAGCCGGGAGGCAAAGCCCCCCUGCCUUACCCUUCCAAGGGGCCUGGGAAUGUCCCUCGAGGGGACCCACCCUGGAGGGAGUUGUAGGCCACUUUGAGGUCUGUGUUUCCUUUGCCACCCAGCCCGCAUGUCUGCAGACCUCCUCCAAGAUGCUCCAGGGGGUCCUAGUGGACCCUACAAACCUCCCUUCAGUUGCCCGGAAGUUGGUCUUCGAUGGACAACACAAAGGAGGCCCUGAGGUCCUGGCCUCACCUGGCCAGGGUCAAGGUCAGUUGCCUCCCUUGGCUU